This 2313-nucleotide ribosomal RNA is filed under the name marine metagenome. RNAcentral describes it as "bacterial LSU rRNA". It matches the Rfam family "Bacterial large subunit ribosomal RNA", at positions 15 to 2044 of the family's 2925-position model. The record is from RNAcentral.
UUAAGGAUAAAUGGCGGAUGCCUAGACAUCAAAAGACGACGAAGGACGUAGCAGCCUGCGAAAAGUCUCGGUGAGGUGGCAAGCAACCUUUGACCCGGGAAUGUCCGAAUGGGGAAACCCACUUGAAGUAAUGUUCAAGUAUCCAUGUCUAAAUACAUAGGGCAUGUGAAGUGAACCCAGCGAAGUGAAACAUCUCAGUAGCUGGAGGAAAAGAAAAAAGUUUUGUCUGUAAAAUCAUGGCCCCCCUUUAAGGGCAAUGAUUUUACAGAUAGUAUUCCGUUAGUAGUGGCGAACGAAAGCGGAGCAGUCCAAACCAAUUCAGUGUUUUAUUUACAAAGAUUCUUUCUUUUAGAAUUAAUCUGCGUAGGUGAUUAAAGGUGUAUGCCGUUGCUGAUAUGGUGUUGAAGAUAAUUACGUUUGUCUGCAUACGAGGACAAGGUAGUAUAUAUAGCUUCCCUAGUAGAACAGUCUGGAAAGGCUGACCAAAGAAGGUGAAAGUCCUGUACACAAAAGGGGUUGUAUAAUUGCGGUUUUUAUCUAGAGUACCAUGGAACUCGUGAAAUUCCGUGGGAAGCAGCCGUGACUAUGCGGUAAGACUAAAUACUUUUGGUGAUCGAUAGUGAACUAGUACCGUGAGGGAAAGGUGAAAAGUAGGCCGGUAAGGCCGAUGAAAUAGUAUUUGAAACCAUUUAUCUACAAAGAGUUGAAGCCCAAGUGCUUACUUCGGUAAGAUUACUGGGUGACAGCGUUCCUAUUGAAGAAUGAGCCAACGAGUUUAUCUACGUUGUUUGUUUAACCUCUAAAGAGGGAAGGCACAGUGAAAGCGAGGCUUAACCGCCGACAGACGCCUAGCGUCAUUCACAGCGUGGAUAAGACCCGAAACCGGGUGAGCUAACCAUGACCAGGGUGAACUCUGUGUAACAACAGAGGGAAGCCCGAACCCACUCGCCGUGCAACACGAGGGGAUGAGUUGUGGUUAGGGGUGAAAUGCUAAUCGAACUCGGUAAUAGCUGGUUCUCCUCGAAAUAGCUUUAGGGCUAGCUUUGGAAUUAGACUCAGGGGUAGAGCACUGAAUGAGAACAGGUGCGCAAGCUUACUGUUUUCAAUCAAACUCCGAAUACUGAGUAUCCGUAUUCCAAAAGUCAGACUAUGGGGGCUAAGCUCCAUCAGUCAAAAGGGAAACAGCCCAGACCGCCAUCUAAGGUCCCUAAGUUCAUAUUAAGUGUGAAAGGUGGUGUCGAUUCUUAAACAACCAGGAAGUUGGCUUAGAAGCAGCCAUCUUUUAAAGAUAGCGUAACAGCUCACUGGUCAAGAGUCUUCGCGCCGAAAAUGUAUCGGGGCUAAAUAUGACACCGAAGAUGCGGCUUCUCAGCUUUUAGCUGAGAGGGGUAGAGGAGUGUUCUAAUUGGGUUGAAGUCGUACUCGCGAGAGACGGUGGACUGAUUAGAAGUAAGAAUGUUGGCAUGAGUAACAAAAAUCAGGGUGAGAAUCCCUGACACCGCAAACCUAAGGUUUCCUGGGCAACGUGAAUCGACCCAGGGUUAGUCGGGCCUAAGGCGAGGCCGAAAGGCGUAGUCGAUGGACGAGCUGGUUAAUAUUCCAGCACUACCUUAAUUUUCCGAUGGGGGGACGCAUUAACAUACGCUAAGCGUUAUCAUGGUUUAUGACGUUGUUGAUUCUAAGCGUGGUAAGUAGGCAAAUCCGCUUACCAUUAAGCGCUGAAGUUGACAGAAGAGAAAGCUUACGCAGACUCAAUUUAGCCGGAGUUAGUGCCAAGAAAAACCUCUAGGGCUAAGAUUAAGGUAUCCGUACUAAAACCGACACAGGUAGGUGAGGCGAGUAGCCUCAGGUGUACGAGAGAAACCUUUGUUAAGGAACUCGGCAAAACAGCGACCGUAACUUCGGGAUAAGGUCUCCCCACUUCGGUGGGGCGCAGCUAAAGAUGUCAAGCGACUGUUUACCAAAAACACAGGUCUCUGCUAAACCGCAAGGUGAUGUAUAGGGGCUGAUGCCUGGCCAGUGUCCGAAGGUUAAAGGGAGGGGUGCAAGCUCCGAUCUGAAGCCCGGAUGAACGCCGGCCGUAACUAUAAAACGGGCCAUUGUAGUUACGUUAAUAAAUCUAGCUAUAUGCGGGAAAACCCCGUCAGAAGUUAAAAGUACUAGGCUAAUAUAUAUAGUCAGUAAAAAUCUUUUAAUUAGUUCUCGAAAGUUUCGGGACACGGGACGAUCCGCAGGAAAGACUCUAAAAUAUAUGGAAAAAUAUUUGAACAGAGUCAACCCAGAUAUUGGUCAUUAUCUAUCUGGCUUUACAGA